UGUAACACUCACCGUGAGGGUCUGCGGCUUCAUUGUUGAAGUCAGCAAGUUGGAGAACCCACCAAUUCCGGUCACACUACCAGUGUGGUAGCCUAAGUUUGAUUCGUUGUCAAUGGACAAUCCUCCACCUCUGAGAAGCUUUCUAUGAUUACUUCAGAUGAAGGACUCAGCAAGAACUAGGCACUCUGCAACCCAGAAGAGAGUUCUCGCCAGAAACCAAUCAUGCUGGCACUUGGAUCUAGGACUUCAAGCUUCCAGAAAUUUGUGGAAUAAGUUUCUGCUGUUUAUAAGCCACCAAGUCUAUGAUAAUGUGUCAGAGGACUGAGCUAAGACAUAAAGUGAGCUAGAGUUAAGAUUUAAGAUCUAUUUGUUACAAUAAAAUUCAAAAUAGUCGUAUAAAUGUUUAAAUGCAACAUCUCAAAAAUCGUAACAUGUUCUUACAUUUAGAGAAUUAGUACAGAAAUAUUAAGUCAACAAAAUUUCUAACAUUAAAUUGAUGUCUACUUGUUAUGUUGAUUUGCAAACAUUUUUUUCCACAUGGAUAUAUUUCCUUUUGUCUACCCAACUAAUUGUUAUUGCAUUACAGGAAAUCUUUUAUUUAUUUUGUAUUUCUCUGUAAACACCUCCCUACCUUGUCUAGUAUAGUGUCAAUUAUUUCAUGCUUUUAUUAAUGUAAUGGCAAAGUCAUUUUAAUGGCCAGAAUAUAAAGAAUUAUAAAUAACACCUCCAUAGAAUUAAGAUUUGAUUGUUGCAAUGGCAAUAUGGAUGACUUUUAGAAAAAUGUGUUGUAUAUGCCAUCAGACAUUAAAAAAAGUUAGCUAAGCUGCAAAUCAAUUUUUACAUGCAAAUAUAACAUAUUAAUAACAGCAGUAGAUGAAAAAAGGAUUGGCUUGAAUCGCUAAGUCAUUUCACACAUUGAUACCAGAGUAAAAUACUUCAAAAUUGUUCUUACUGAACAUUCUUCUUUUCCUCCC
Molecule: long non-coding RNA, 974 nt
Filed under: Homo sapiens (human)
Lineage: Eukaryota; Metazoa; Chordata; Mammalia; Primates; Hominidae
Description: HSALNT0326429
Source: RNAcentral